CCCCUAGAUGUUCUGGGCCGCACGCGCGCUACACUGAACAGUUCAACAAGUCUUAACCUUGGCCGAUAGGUCUGGGUAAUCUUUGAACGCUGUUCGUGAUUGGGAUAGACCUUUGCAAUUAUGGGUCUUCAACGAGGAAUUCCUAGUAAACGCAAGUCAUCAGCUUGCAUUGAUUACGACCCUGCCCUUUGUACACACCGCCCGUCGCACCUACCGAUUGAAUGGUCCGGUGAAAUCUCGGGACGGCGGCUUGGUCGCUUGCGUCCGACUGCUGAAACUUGAUUAAACCAUAUCAUUUAGAGGAAGGUGAAGUCGUAACA
This 320-nucleotide ribosomal RNA is filed under the name uncultured eukaryote. Its description in RNAcentral is "partial 18S ribosomal RNA". It matches the Rfam family "Eukaryotic small subunit ribosomal RNA", at positions 1470 to 1796 of the family's 1831-position model. The record is from RNAcentral.